RNAcentral lists this ribosomal RNA (495 nucleotides) under uncultured bacterium. RNAcentral describes it as "bacterial SSU rRNA". It matches the Rfam family "Bacterial small subunit ribosomal RNA", at positions 56 to 527 of the family's 1533-position model. The record is from RNAcentral.
UGCAAGUUGAGCGGUAAGGCCCCUUCGGGGGUACACGAGCAGCGAACGGGUGAGUAUCGCGUGGGUAAUCUACCUAGAGGUGGGGGAUAGCCUCGGGAAACCGAGGGUAAUACCGCAUGAGUCCUCAACGGCAUAAGUCGAUGAGGGGAAAGGCGGGGCUCCUUCGGGACCUGUCGCCUCCGGAUGAGCCCGCGUCCGAUUAGCUAGUUGGUGGGGUAAUGGCCUACCAAGGCAGCGAUCGGUAGCCGGCCUGAGAGGGUGAACGGCCACAUUGGGACUGAGACACGGCCCAGACUCCUACGGGAGGCAGCAGUGGGGAAUUUUGGGCAAUGGGGGAAACCCUGACCCAGCGACGCCGCGUGGAGGAUGACGGCCUUCGGGUUGUAAACUCCUGUCAGGUGGGAAGAAAAGCCAGUCGGAUAAUACCCGGCAGGAAUUGACGGUACCACCAAAGGAAGCCCCGGCUAACUCCGUGCCAGCAGCCGCGGUAAUACG